RNAcentral lists this ribosomal RNA (496 nucleotides) under uncultured bacterium. Its description in RNAcentral is "partial 16S ribosomal RNA". It matches the Rfam family "Bacterial small subunit ribosomal RNA", at positions 28 to 506 of the family's 1533-position model. The record is from RNAcentral.
GAUGAACGCUGGCGGCGUGCCUAAUACAUGCAAGUCGAGCGAACAGACGAGGAGCUUGCUCCUCUGACGUUAGCGGCGGACGGGUGAGUAACACGUGGAUAACCUACCUAUAAGACUGGGAUAACUUCGGGAAACCGGAGCUAAUACCGGAUAAUAUAUUGAACCGCAUGGUUCAAUAGUGAAAGACGGUUUUGCUGUCACUUAUAGAUGGAUCCGCGCCGCAUUAGCUAGUUGGUAAGGUAACGGCUUACCAAGGCAACGAUGCGUAGCCGACCUGAGAGGGGUAAGGGCCCACUGGGACUUGAGAACCGGCCCAGACCCAAGAGGGGGGCAGAAGGGGGGAAUUUUCCGCAAGGGGCGAAAGCCUGACGGGGAAACGCCGGGGGGGUGAAGAAGGUCUUGGGAUGGUAAAACCCUUUUAUUGGGAAAAAAAAAAUGUGUAAUAAAAUAUGCACGUUUGGGCGGUACCAAAAAAAAAAGCACCGGCUAACUACGU